GCCAACCCACUUUGCAUUCCUAAGAAAGAACGAAACAAAAGUGAACGAAACAUUUUUCGAUACAUAGUCCUAGUCCUUAGUAAGCGGCAAUGCCAAAACAGCGAAAUUUCAGAAAAUUAACUGACUAACAAAACUUUGUAGAUGAUAGUUCGUAGACGAUCUAAGUUCCUUUGCUAGCUAGGGUUAUGGAUUACCUAUAGACAAGAAGGAUCUCAAACAAAAGACAAAUGAAUCGUAACCAACAGUAAAAUUGCAACUUAACUAAACAAAAACUAAACAUAACUGAACAACAUCAAACACACACACACACAAAUAGUUCAAAUAUAUAUUUACAAAGCAGCCAAAAACAAAAUUAAAGCCCAACUCUACAGUUAAAUACACAUGCAUACUAUAUACAUAUAUACAAAGAUAUAUAUUUUGUGAACCUUUAAAAAAAAAAACAAAAAGCAAAAAAAUGUGAAACGAAUUUGUGACCAAACCAGAGUAUAGAAACCGAAACGAUAUAUAGCUAGUGAUGUAAGCCACUUAACCACAUAUAUAUAGAUAUUUAUAUAUAUUUUUAUACUCGAGAGCCGUAACUAAGUAUUUUUAUAUGAAUAUUUUUGUAACUCGAAUAAAAUAGUAUUGAAAAAGAAAUCGUUUCAAUGACUAGGGAUCUGUCGCUGCAUCAUUCCCCCACUCCACUCUACUCUCCUCUCUUUCCGUCUCUCUCUCUCUCUAUUUAUCUCUUGUUGGCCAAGUUUACUAAACAUGUUUCUUUGCAGACCGACCCAUAUCAAGCACCAUUAUCAUGAUCAUCUUCAGACAAGCAUCAUCCCACAGCGCUCAUUCAAACCAACCAACCAACCAAUCAAAUAAAAAAAGCCAAUCUGCAAUGCUGCUAGCUCACGCUUCACCAUGCCACCAUGCCACGCCCACGCCCACACAAAAUACAAAAUAUUAAAAUUCAACCAAACACCCCGCAACACACACUAACUCUCCAAGCAGCUACGCAUCCAACUCGAGCCAGACCCCGCCGCCGACUGGCACUUUGGCGCACUCCCUGAUCCGCGACUACUGGUACGAGCUGAAGUUCUCCGAUCUGUUCACGUUCAUCAACCCGGACGGACGGUAUCAGUGCCCGAGAUUCAAUUGCCUGAAGAGCUUCAAGGACGCCAGCUCCUUGCAACGACAUAUCAGGUGAGUGUCGGGCAUACCAUAUGCAUAUGUCUAUAUCUAUCUAUCUAUAUCAACGUUUCCCUAGAUAUGAAUGUGGUGGACAGAAAAAAUUUCGCUGUCUGAUGUGCGGCAAGCAUUUUCACAAAGCUCCCACCUAAAGCGGCACCUUGAGUCCGGUGUCUGUGUCAAAUAUUACUUAUGAGAUAAUGUUUUCUUUAAAAUCAAUUAGAAUAAGCGUUAUCCCAAUAGGCAGAGGAUCAAGCAAUGAUCGAAUGACGUGAAAAGAACAUGAACAUUGAACAUGAAUAUAUAUGUAUAACAAAAGAAACACGCAACACAAGAAAAAACAAGAACAGAAUGAUAUAUAGAACCAUUAGCUAAAGGAAAAGGAAUUCAAAAACAAAAACAAAAAACAAAAAACCAAGAACAAUUACAAAUAACAACAACAAAACGAAUUUAUUGGAUGCCACAUCAUUUAUAAAGAAAGGGAAAACCAACCAAUCUAUAUAUACAUUAUAUAUGAUGAUAAUUAUUGUUGAAACUGAGCAUUAAAUAAGCAAAUGGAAUAC
Long non-coding RNA from Drosophila miranda, 1727 nucleotides. RefSeq lists it as uncharacterized. The transcript has 2 exons. The record is from RefSeq and is a predicted model, not a curated record. NCBI's taxonomy places the organism in Eukaryota, Metazoa, Arthropoda, Insecta, Diptera, Drosophilidae.